CCCUACGGGGGGCAGCAAUUAGGAACCUUGCGCAAUGGGGGAAACCCUGACGCAGCGACGCCGCGUGAAGGAUGACGGCCUUCGGGUUGUAAACUUCUUUUAAGAGGGAAGAAGGAAGUGACGGUACCUCUUGAAUAAGCCCCGGCUAACUACGUGCCAGCAGCCGCGGUAAUACGUAGGGGGCGAGCGUUGUCCGAAGUUACUGGGCGUAAAGCGCGCGUAGGCGGACUUUUAAGUUGGGGGUGAAAACUCAGGGCUCAACCCUGAGCGUGCCUUCAAAACUGGGAGUCUUGAGGUAUGGAGAGGUAAGUGGAAUUCCUGGUGUAGCGGUGAAAUGCGUAGAUAUCAGGAGGAACACCCGUGGCGAAGGCGGCUUACUGGUCAUAUCCUGACGCUGAGGUGCGAAAGCCAGGGGAGCGAACGGGAUUAGAUACCCCUGUAGUCCG
RNAcentral lists this ribosomal RNA (446 nucleotides) under uncultured bacterium. Its description in RNAcentral is "bacterial SSU rRNA". It matches the Rfam family "Bacterial small subunit ribosomal RNA", at positions 337 to 797 of the family's 1533-position model. The record is from RNAcentral.